RNAcentral lists this ribosomal RNA (61 nucleotides) under Acidobacteriota bacterium. RNAcentral describes it as "Acidobacteria bacterium (groundwater metagenome) partial 16S ribosomal RNA". The record is from RNAcentral. Lineage: Bacteria; Pseudomonadati; Acidobacteriota.
AGCUCUUCAACCGGAGAGUUUGAUCCUGGCUCAGAACGAACGCUGGCGGCGUGCCUAACAC